GUUCUUAUGCCGCUUUUUUGCCAGUUCGAUUUCUUUACCAUUAGAAACUACAUCAGAUUUAACUGAACAAAACAUGUUGGCAAAACACUUUUUCCUGUUCGUUUUUUGGGCAUUGGUGGCUGGAGCUAUUUUUGUGAUGGCUGCUCCAAAUUCUACAUCUCAAGAUUGCCCUGAGAACGAGGUAUUUGUGGAUGGUGGUCCAGACUGUACAAUAACGUGUCGUGGAUUAAACCUCAACAAGUGCUGUGUCAACCAUAUUGCACCUGUGAAAGGGUGUUUCAGCAGAAAAGGCUACGCCAAAGCUAAGAAUGGUACCAGCAUUCCAAUUAAUUCAAUUGACUGCCAAAAUGAAUUGAACGAUGAAUGCGAUUGCGGUGAUUUGGCUUGUGGAGGACGACCACUGGAAUGAAAUGAGAACGUUGUACGAAGCUUCAAGAAGCAGUUCAUUUUCAGGAACUACUCAUAGUGAAUUGGUUGGAGGGAAAUAAAUGCUUGUUGAUAAUUUGAAUAAAUUUGUUUUGGUUAAUUGUCUUUCCCAAGAAAUAGAUUCAGUAGAGUAAACUAAAGCAGAUGACUGUUUUUUUAAUUUAAAUUUCGAGGUCAUUUCUCAAUGCUCAAUUUACGUGCUUAUCUCAAGCUAAAUGAUUCAAGUGAACCUUUUUCUUUAAAUUUUGCAAUUAAACGCAGCUGAAAAAUUCAUUUUCCAAAUCAUAUAAAGAGCUCAUAGCAACUAGGUGGAUCGUGAUCGUACACAAGGCAAUACAUGCAUGGAAUAUACAUUUAUAAUCUGCUUGGUGCCUGCCACCAGCUCAGAAUACCAGCGCACAAGUGUUUUAAAUUCAUCUGAGAUUUUAGCUACGAUCGCGGAAUUAUUGUUCGAUAAACAAUGUUUAUAAUGAAUGAAUGACAUUUAUUGCUCUUGGUUUUGGGUACUUUUCUUUCUAAGUGCCACUGGAAUGAUGCAACGAGAGAAAAUUUGUGUUUGUAUUUCGUCGUAGGAGACGAUAAAAAAUAAGGCUGGCAAAUGCAUUGAUAUCUACUAUGACCAUCGUGCUUGAAUGUGGAAGGCUAUGAACUCAUAAAAGUUCCAAUUAUGGAUGAACAAUAUUUGUAUUAUGCCAAUUGAAUAAGCAAAAAUACCAAUAGUGAUGUUCCUAUGAAAUUUCUUUUUCUAUUAAUAACAUUUUAUUAUCUUGUAAGUAAAUGAACUUGGUUUUGUUUUGGGACAAUUUUAACGACGAAAAUUGUUUUCAAAAAUAUUUCGUUGACAUGUGGGUUUGACUGAAAACAGGUUGAAUUCGGUGCAAUAAUAUUUUUAGCGAUUAAGCUGUAGCGCAUUUACGAAUGUCAGUGGUGCUCUGUCAACUUGUACUAUAAUAUUAUAUAUCAUUAUAAUUGAUGACUAUUUCGAAAAAAUCGAAUCGAAAGCAAACCCAAUUUCGUUUGGUUGAAUGGUAUCACUUGCGACAGAGUGAACACUUGCGAUUCUUUUUUCGUUCUGACAGAAUGCAAGCCUGUGUGUGUUUCUCAACGCACCGUCGAUUUUAAGCUUGAGAAAUCGCUUAUGAAUAUUUGCUCUAGAUAGAGAAAUGGCUGAAUGCAAUUUCGAAAUAUCUCCAGAAUUUUCGGAGAGUUUGAAUGUAUUGACACGACAGUAUGAUAUAUGCAUCACCACACACAAAAAUAAAUGCAUGCUUAGUGUAUAAAUAUCCCCUCUUCAUUGCACUGCAUUCACAAUUGUUUUGAGCAUCUCUGUGAAGAUAUCACCGUGAAUUAAUUUUCUCUGAAGGAAAAAUCAACUUGAAUUUAUCAUUUGUGAUGAAGCCGGAUUAUAUUUUGAGUUUAACACUUUGUGUUUUUUUCGUUGGAAGUGUCAUUGGGCUGAAACAACUACCACCUGAGCCCAAACCAAUACCAGUGUGCCCCAAACCGUAUCAAAAAUGGGUUGUCGGAGCAAAGGCUUGUGGAAACUUUUGCGAGAAUUUAUGCUGCUUCUGUUGCUUAGAGACUUUUGCCAUUGUAGAAAGAUGCGACUGCAUAGACGGCUACGCAAUGGAUGAUGACGGCAAUUGCAUUAAAAUUGAUAGCAAAUUAUGUAAAAAAUUAAUGCGAAGAACUCGUAACUGUCUCCCUUGUAGUACCAUAUAUCCAAGCAAAAAACCAAACCCACAAUCACAUCGUGAUUUUUUUUAACCGUUCUCGCAUUCGUUUUUUUACUCUUCAUAUGUAUCAAUGAAAUGUACUGUGGCAACAGUCAAAACUGCUAAUUUCAACAUAAUUCUAGUGAAAUUGUAAUGAAUAACAUAAAAACAAUGAUUGAAUAAAAUGAAAUUUUAUACUGAUUGUACACAAAUGUGU
Molecule: long non-coding RNA, 2358 nt
Organism: Sitodiplosis mosellana (orange wheat blossom midge)
Lineage: Eukaryota; Metazoa; Arthropoda; Insecta; Diptera; Cecidomyiidae
Exons: 3
Source: RefSeq, a predicted model, not a curated record